GACGAACGCUGGCGGCGUGCCUAAUACAUGCAAGUCGAGCGAACGGAUGGGAGCUUUCCUCCAGACCGUCAGCGGCGGACGGGUGAGUAACACGUGGGCAACCUUCCUUUAAGACUUGGAUAACUCCGGGAAACCGGGGCCUAUACCGGAUAACUCUUUUCAUCCCAUUGGGUAAAUCUUGAAGAUCGCAUCUCGCUAUCACUUACAGAUGGUCCCGCGGCGCAUUAGCUAGUUGGUGAGGUAACGGCUCACCAAGGCGACGAUGCGUAGCCGACCUGAGAGGGUGAUCGGCCACACUGGGACUGAGACACGGCCCAGACUCCUACGGGAGGCAGCAGUAGGGAAUCUUCCGCAAUGGACGAAAGUCUGACGGAGCAACGCCGCGUGAGUGAUGAAGGUUUUCGGAUCGUAAAACUCUGUUGUCAGGGAAGAACAAGUACCGGAGUAACUGCCGGUACCUUGACGGUACCUGACCAGAAAGCCACGGCUAACUACGUG
This 498-nucleotide ribosomal RNA is filed under the name uncultured bacterium. RNAcentral's name for it is "partial 16S ribosomal RNA". It matches the Rfam family "Bacterial small subunit ribosomal RNA", at positions 28 to 507 of the family's 1533-position model. The record is from RNAcentral.